Molecule: ribosomal RNA, 497 nt
Filed under: uncultured bacterium
Lineage: Bacteria
Description: partial 16S ribosomal RNA
Rfam family: Bacterial small subunit ribosomal RNA
Source: RNAcentral
GAUGAACGCUGGCGGCGUGCCUAAUACAUGCAAGUCGAGCGAACGGACGAGAAGCUUGCUUCUCUGAUGUUAGCGGCAGACGGGUGAGUAACACGUGGAUAACCUACCUAUAAGACUGGGAUAACUUCGGGAAACCGGAGCUAAUACCGGAUAAUAUUUUGAACCGCAUGGUUCAAAAGUGAAAGACGGUCUUGCUGUCACUUAUAGAUGGAUCCGCGCUGCAUUAGCUAGUUGGUAAGGUAACGGCUUACCAAGGCAACGAUGCAUAGCCGACCUGAGAGGGUGAUCGGCCACACUGGAACUGAGACACGGUCCAGACUCCUACGGGAGGCAGCAGUAGGGAAUCUUCCGCAAUGGGCGAAAGCCUGACGGAGCAACGCCGCGUGAGUGAUGAAGGUCUUCGGAUCGUAAAACUCUGUUAUUAGGGAAGAACAUAUGUGUAAGUAAGUGUGCACAUCUUGACGGUACCUAAUCAGAAAGCCACGGCUAACUACGUG